Molecule: transfer RNA, 72 nt
Filed under: Bos taurus (domestic cattle)
Lineage: Eukaryota; Metazoa; Chordata; Mammalia; Artiodactyla; Bovidae
Rfam family: tRNA
About the family: Transfer RNA (tRNA) molecules are approximately 80 nucleotides in length. Their secondary structure includes four short double-helical elements and three loops (D, anti-codon, and T loops). Further hydrogen bonds mediate the characteristic L-shaped molecular structure. tRNAs have two regions of fundamental functional importance: the anti-codon, which is responsible for specific mRNA codon recognition, and the 3' end, to which the tRNAs corresponding amino acid is attached (by aminoacyl-tRNA synthetases). tRNAs cope with the degeneracy of the genetic code in two manners: having more than one tRNA (with a specific anti-codon) for a particular amino acid; and 'wobble' base-pairing, i.e. permitting non-standard base-pairing at the 3rd anti-codon position.
Source: Rfam by way of RNAcentral
UUCCUGACAGUCCAGUGGUUAGGACUCAACACUUUAACUGCCAGGGCCCAGGUUUGAUCCCUGGUCAGGGAA